Molecule: ribosomal RNA, 253 nt
Filed under: uncultured bacterium
Lineage: Bacteria
Description: partial 16S ribosomal RNA
Rfam family: Bacterial small subunit ribosomal RNA
Source: RNAcentral
UACGUAGGGUGCAAGCGUUGUCCGGAAUUAUUGGGCGUAAAGGGCUCGUAGGCGGUCUGUCGCGUCAGGAGUGAAAACUCGGGGCUUAACCCCGAGCCUGCUUCUGAUACGGGCAGACUAGAGGUAUGCAGGGGAGAACGGAAUUCCUGGUGUAGCGGUGAAAUGCGCAGAUAUCAGGAGGAACACCGGUGGCGAAGGCGGUUCUCUGGGCAUGUCCUGACGCUGAGGAGCGAAAGUGUGGGGAGCGAACAGG